Seriola dumerili (greater amberjack) is the source of this 248-nucleotide long non-coding RNA. RefSeq lists it as uncharacterized. NCBI's taxonomy places the organism in Eukaryota, Metazoa, Chordata, Actinopteri, Carangiformes, Carangidae. The transcript has 3 exons. The record is from RefSeq and is a predicted model, not a curated record.
GGCUGAGGCAACAUCCAGCCGUGCUGCUGUUGAUGGAGGGGGGGAUUCUUUAUAAGUGCUAAAUAAGAGACUGACAGAACUGGGCCACUGUACAUUACUUGCACACAGGCCACAAAACCUCCACAUGCUGAGAGCAGAAGAUGCUUACUGAUGAGAAAGUGAUAUGGCAGUGCAAUGUGAUCUAUUCAGAUUUAUCCUAACUGGAUGCUCCAUUAUUGAUUCCUUCUGAAACAUAUUCAUGGCUCAAG